RNAcentral lists this ribosomal RNA (430 nucleotides) under uncultured Planctomycetales bacterium. Its description in RNAcentral is "bacterial SSU rRNA". It matches the Rfam family "Bacterial small subunit ribosomal RNA", at positions 41 to 482 of the family's 1533-position model. Lineage: Bacteria; Pseudomonadati; Planctomycetota; Planctomycetia; Planctomycetales. The record is from RNAcentral.
GGCGUGGAUUAGGCAUGCAAGUCGAGCGAGAAGUUUACUUCGGUAAAUGGACAGCGGCGAAAGGGACAGUAAUGUGUAGGUACCUACCCCCAGAUCUGGGAUAGCUGCGGGAAACUGCAGGUAAUACCGGAUAAUGUCUUCGGACCAAAGGUGUGAUUCCGUCAGGGGAGGGGCCUGCAUCCUAUUAGCUUGUUGGUGAGGUAAUGGCUCACCAAGGCAACGAUGGGUAGCGGGUGUGAGAGCAUGACCCGCGUCAUUGGGACUGAGACACUGCCCAGACAUCUACGGAUGGCUGCAGUCGAGAAUCUUCGGCAAUGGGCGAAAGCCUGACCGAGCGACGCCGCGUGCGGGAUGAAGGCCCUCGGGUUGUAAACCGCUGUCGUUGGGGAGGAAAUGCAAAAGGGUUAUCCCUUCUGUUUGACCGAUCCAA